This 318-nucleotide ribosomal RNA is filed under the name Triticum aestivum (bread wheat). Its description in RNAcentral is "partial small subunit ribosomal RNA". Lineage: Eukaryota; Viridiplantae; Streptophyta; Magnoliopsida; Poales; Poaceae. The record is from RNAcentral.
AUGUCCAUGUGCACUUUAGUUGACUUACCACACCAUACCUCGCCAUGUUUACAGACAUUUUCUGCCUCCCACAGCAGGCUGCUUAUUUUCUCACCACAUGGGAUGGGAUCCAAGGCAGCUCAGCCACCUCACCUAGCUCCAUUUCCCAGCCGAAACCAAACCAAAUCCUCGCACCACCCUAAAAAUGCACUCCUACUUACUUACAUUCACACUGUCAGAGAUCACAAGGACCCAUCUCAGCCUGCCAAAGGCCCAAAGCAAGGCAGUCAAUCAGCCACCCAGUCGUGGCAUUCGCUGAAACCACCGGCACUUGUAUAA